UGCAUGGUGGCACAGUUGAUAGCACUGUUGCCUUGCAAGAAGGUCCUGGGUUCGAUUCCCAGCCAGGGGUCUUUCUGCAU
Molecule: non-coding RNA, 80 nt
Organism: Characodon lateralis
Lineage: Eukaryota; Metazoa; Chordata; Actinopteri; Cyprinodontiformes; Goodeidae
Source: the annotation of a GenBank genome assembly